This 1211-nucleotide ribosomal RNA is filed under the name uncultured Inocybe. Its description in RNAcentral is "eukaryotic LSU rRNA". The stretch from base 587 to 1211 matches the Rfam family "Eukaryotic large subunit ribosomal RNA", at positions 1 to 607 of the family's 3401-position model. The record is from RNAcentral. Lineage: Eukaryota; Fungi; Basidiomycota; Agaricomycetes; Agaricales; Cortinariaceae.
AGGAUCAUUAUUGAAAUAGUAUGACAGAGUUGUCGCUGGCCACUGUGCUGUGCACGCUCCGUCGUUCUUCAUUUCUCCAUCAUCUCUGUGCACUGCCUUUGUGUAGAUAUCUCUCUGUCCAUUUCAAGGACGGAAUUGGGGACUGCUUUGCGAAAAACAGUAGGGCUUUCCUUGGAUCUACAUUCUCUUCACAUACUCCAGUUGUAAUAUGGAAUGAAUGGAAAAAAUGAAAAUGAAAAAACAACUUUCAGCAACGGAUCUCUUGGCUCUCGCAUCGAUGAAGAACGCAGCGAAAUGCGAUAAGUAAUGUGAAUUGCAGAAUUCAGUGAAUCAUCGAAUCUUUGAACGCAUCUUGCGCUCCUUGGUAUUCUGAGGAGCAUGCCUGUUUGAGUGUCAUUAAUGUCUCAACCACACCUGUGAGGGUGUUGGCUUGGAUCUGGGGGCUUACAGGCUCUGAAUUCAUGUAGCCUGCUCCCCUGAAAUACAUGAGUGGCAAAUGACCUCCCUCUCCAUUAGAUGUGAUACAUAUCUGCAUCUAAAUCCGAGGGGUUUGCUGCAGUUGGGUUGGGUUGGAUUUUGAUAAACUUGACCUCAAAUCAGGUAGGACUACCCGCUGAACUUAAGCAUAUCAAUAAGCGGAGGAAAAGAAACUAACAAGGAUUCCCUUAGUAACUGCGAGUGAAGUGGGAAGAGCUCAAAUUUGUAAUCUGGCAGUCCUUUGAUUGUCCGAGUUGUAAUCUAGAGAAGUGCUACCUGCCCUGGACCAUGUACAAGUCUCCUGGAAUGGAGCGUCGCAGAGGGUGAGAAUCCCGUCUUUGACAUGGACUGCCAGAGCUUGAUAGGUGUGCUCUCGAAGAGUCGAGUUGUUUGGGAAUGCAGCUCAAAAUGGGUGGUAAAUGCCAUCUAAAGCUAAAUAUUGGCGAGAGACCGAUAGCGAACAAGUACCGUGAGGGAAAGAUGAAAAGAACUUUGGAAAGAGAGUUAAACAGUACGUGAAAUUGCUGAAAGGGAAACGCUUGAAGUCAGUCGCAUCGGCUAGAAAUCAACCUUGCUCUUGCCUGGUGUACUUUCUGGUUGAUGGGUCAGCAUCAAUUCUGACCGCUGGAUAAAGUCUUUGGGAAUGUGGCAUCUCAGGAUGUGUUAUAGCCCAUGGUUGGAUGCAGUGGUUGGGAUUGAGGAACUCAGCACGCUCGCGAGGGCCGGGUUCGACC